This 484-nucleotide long non-coding RNA is filed under the name Pan troglodytes (chimpanzee). RNAcentral describes it as "lincRNA". Lineage: Eukaryota; Metazoa; Chordata; Mammalia; Primates; Hominidae. The record is from RNAcentral.
CACACAGAUGCAAGGUCUCCUGAUGGCAGAAAACCUUAUAACCAGAGACGGGGUUUCUCCGUGUUAGCCAGGAUGGUCUCGAUCUCCUGACCUCGUGAUCCACCUGCCUUGGCCUCCCAAAGUGCUGGGAUUACAGGCGUGAGCCACCACGCCCGGCCCAUAAUCAACCUCAGCUGCCAACGCCAGAAUCAACCUCAGCUGCCAAAUGCUAGACUGAAAAAAGAAUGUAAACAGCUUGAUGGAGGGGAGGAUCCAGGUGCACCUGUGGUUUUGACAGCUUUUGCUGCUGCUUGAGGAGGAAACAGGUUGCCUGUUUGUUCUUCAAGAGCACUUCUGGCAUCCAGGUAUUAUGCAGGCAUGCACUGCCAGCUGUGAAAGAUGCCACUUCCUUGUCACUUCAGAGAAUGAUGCUUCUACAGAAGAUCCCUCUUGCUAUUUCAUUCAGGGAGCUCGGGAGAGGAAGACAAAAAGAAUCAAAUGCAAA